RNAcentral lists this ribosomal RNA (322 nucleotides) under uncultured Lactobacillus sp. RNAcentral describes it as "bacterial SSU rRNA". It matches the Rfam family "Bacterial small subunit ribosomal RNA", at positions 212 to 524 of the family's 1533-position model. The record is from RNAcentral. Lineage: Bacteria; Bacillati; Bacillota; Bacilli; Lactobacillales; Lactobacillaceae.
CUAUCACUCUUGGAUGGACCUGCGGUGCAUUUAGCUAGUUGGUAGGGUAACGGCCUACCAAGGCGAUGAUGCAUAGCCGAGUUGAGAGACUGAUCGGCCACAUUGGGACUGAGACACGGCCCAAACUCCUACGGGAGGCAGCAGUAGGGAAUCUUCCACAAUGGACGCAAGUCUGAUGGAGCAACGCCGCGUGAGUGAAGAAGGGUUUCGGCUCGUAAAGCUCUGUUGUUGGUGAAGAAGGACAGGGGUAGUAACUGACCUUUGUUUGACGGUAAUCAAUUAGAAAGUCACGGGCUAACUACGUGCCAGUAGCCGCGGUAAA